UGGGUGUUUAUAUAUGUACAGUUACUCAGGUGAAUAUUGUUUUUGAUGAUACUCUGAGUGUAUAUGCAGUUAGCAGAGCAUUAGACUACUUGCGGGUUCGAUUCUCACAAUGGUCAGGCUAACUUUUCAGCCUGCCCGGUGUGGAUAUAUACACUCAGAGUAACAUAGUUACAAAACAUCAAAUUAUAGUCAAUUUAUACAAGUUCUUUUUUCAGCCACUGUUAUACAACUAGGUGUAGUUCUGAUUGCACAGCAAUGUGUUGUAGCAAAUUUAAGUUCUCCUGAAGACCUGAUGCAGUAAUUUUUCAACUUUUUCCACAUGACAAGCAAUAUUAUCU
Paramuricea clavata is the source of this 338-nucleotide non-coding RNA. Lineage: Eukaryota; Metazoa; Cnidaria; Anthozoa; Malacalcyonacea; Plexauridae. The record is from the annotation of a GenBank genome assembly.